AAUCAACGCUGGCGGCGUGCCUCAGACAUGCAAGUCGAACGAUUAAAGCUCCCUUCGGGGAGUGCAUAGAGUGGCGCACGGGUGAGUAACACGUAAGUAAUCUACCCUCGGGUGAGGAAUAACGUUCGGAAACGGACGCUAAUACCGCAUAAUGCAGCGGCACCGCAAGGUGACAGUUGUUAAAGAUUUAUUGCCUGGGGAGGAGCUUGCGGCAGAUUAGCUUGUUGGUAAGGAACGGCUUACCAAGGCUACGAUCUGUAUCCGGUCUAAGAGGACGGUCGGACACACUGACACUGAAUAACGGGUCAGACUCCUACGGGAGGCAGCAGUCGGGAAUUUUUGGGCGAAUGGGGGGAAACCCGUACGACCCAACGCAAACGCCGGCCGUGAAAGGGAAUUGAAAGUAAUUUUCGGUAAUGUAAAACUUACGAAAGAAUAAGGAAGAAUUAAUGACGGUACUAUUUAUAAGUCCGGCUAACUACGUGCCA
Molecule: ribosomal RNA, 488 nt
Filed under: uncultured bacterium
Lineage: Bacteria
Description: bacterial SSU rRNA
Rfam family: Bacterial small subunit ribosomal RNA
Source: RNAcentral